RNAcentral lists this ribosomal RNA (623 nucleotides) under Bacillus sp. (in: firmicutes). RNAcentral's name for it is "bacterial SSU rRNA". It matches the Rfam family "Bacterial small subunit ribosomal RNA", at positions 49 to 655 of the family's 1533-position model. Lineage: Bacteria; Bacillati; Bacillota; Bacilli; Caryophanales; Bacillaceae. The record is from RNAcentral.
CUAUACUGCAAGUCGAGCGGACAGAUGGGAGCUUGCUCCCUGAUGUUAGCGGCGGACGGGUGAGUAACACGUGGGUAACCUGCCUGUAAGACUGGGAUAACUCCGGGAAACCGGGGCUAAUACCGGAUGGUUGUUUGAACCGCAUGGUUCAAACAUAAAAGGUGGCUUCGGCUACCACUUACAGAUGGACCCGCGGCGCAUUAGCUAGUUGGUGAGGUAACGGCUCACCAAGGCAACGAUGCGUAGCCGACCUGAGAGGGUGAUCGGCCACACUGGGACUGAGACACGGCCCAGACUCCUACNGGAGGCAGCAGUAGGGAAUCUUCCGCAAUGGACGAAAGUCUGACGGAGCAACGCCUCGUGAGUGAUGAAGGUUUUCGGAUCGUAAAGCUCUGCUGUUAGGGAAGAACAAGUACCGUUCGAAUAGGGCGGUACCUUGACGGUACCNAACCAGAAAGCCACGGCUAACUACGUGCCAGCAGCCGCGNCAAUACGUAUGUGGCAAGCGUUGCCCGGAAUUAUUGGGCGUAAAGGGCUCGCACGCGGUUUUUUCACUCUGAUGCGAAAGCCCCCGGCUCCCCCCGGGACGGUCAUUGUCAACUGUCCCACUUCCCUGCAUAAUA